This 270-nucleotide ribosomal RNA is filed under the name uncultured archaeon. RNAcentral's name for it is "partial 16S ribosomal RNA". It matches the Rfam family "Archaeal small subunit ribosomal RNA", at positions 477 to 747 of the family's 1478-position model. The record is from RNAcentral.
CAGCACCUCAAGUGGUCAGGAUGAUUAUUUGGCCUAAAGCAUCCGUAGCCGGCGCUGUAAGUUUUCGGUUAAAUCUGUACGCUUAACGUACAGGCUGCCGGGAAUACUGCAGAGCUAGGGAGUGGGAGAGGUAGACGGUACUCGGUAGGAAGGGGUAAAAUCCUUUGAUCUAUUGAUGACCACCUGUGGCGAAGGCGGUCUACCAGAACACGUCCGACGGUGAGGGAUGAAAGCUGGGGGAGCAAACCGGAUUAGAGACCCGAGUAGUCC